AUACGGAGGGUGCGAGCGUUAAUCGGAAUUACUGGGCGUAAAGCGCGCGUAGGCGGUUUGUUAAGUCGGAUGUGAAAUCCCCGGGCUCAACCUGGGACCUGCAUCCGAUACUGGCAGGCUAGAGUCUGAUAGAGGGGGGUAGAAUUCCUGGUGUAGCGGUGAAAUGCGUAGAUAUCAGGAGGAAUACCAGUGGCGAAGGCGGCCCCCUGGACUGAGACUGACGCUGAGGUGCGAAAGCGUGGGGAGCAAACAGGAUUAGAAACCCCAGUAGUCC
Molecule: ribosomal RNA, 274 nt
Filed under: uncultured bacterium
Lineage: Bacteria
Description: partial 16S ribosomal RNA
Rfam family: Bacterial small subunit ribosomal RNA
Source: RNAcentral